AUGUUUUAUGAAUUUGUACGACGGCUCAAUGACUUUGUAUCACUGUGGUACACGUUCGGUGGAGGAACCAGACUGGAUAUUGGAAGUGAUGUCCGUCCCACCCUGACGGUGCUGCCCCCCUCCCACGAGGAGCUGAAGCAGGGGAAGGCCACGCUCAUGUGCCUGGCCAACAAGGGCUUCCCCUCAGGCUGGAGUCUGGCCUGGAAGGUGGACGGCAGCAGCAGCAGCUUGGAUCAGAGCAGGAGCCCCGGGGUGCUGGGGAAGGACGGCACCUACAGCUGGAGCAGCACCCUGAGGCUCACUGCAGACCAGUGGACGAAGGCGGGCUCUGUGACCUGUGAGGCCACCCAGGGCUCCCAGACUCCGGUCUCAGAGACACUGAGGACAGACCAGUGUUCCCAGUCCUGACCUGACUCUCUGAGACUGUGCUACUGGUUUUACUCUGCUCCUGCUCUCAGUCUGCUCUCUGUAACUGUCUCUCUCUCUCUCUCUUUAUGAGUCUCUCAGAUGUGUUUGCUCGUUCUUUGUCAUUUGUCAUUUCGAUAUUUCCAGAUAAUAAAGAUCAGUUCAUCCAAUA
Molecule: non-coding RNA, 577 nt
Organism: Toxotes jaculatrix (banded archerfish)
Lineage: Eukaryota; Metazoa; Chordata; Actinopteri; Toxotidae
Source: the annotation of a RefSeq genome assembly